This 397-nucleotide ribosomal RNA is filed under the name uncultured Thalassiosiraceae. RNAcentral's name for it is "partial small subunit ribosomal RNA". It matches the Rfam family "Eukaryotic small subunit ribosomal RNA", at positions 30 to 432 of the family's 1831-position model. The record is from RNAcentral. Lineage: Eukaryota; Bacillariophyta; Thalassiosirophyceae; Thalassiosirales; Thalassiosiraceae.
GCUUGUCUCAAAGAUUAAGCCAUGCAUGUCUAAGUAUAACUCUUUUACUUUGAAAACUGCGAACGGCUCAUUAUAUCAGUUAUAGUUUCUUUGAUAGUCCCUUACUACUUGGAUACCCGUAGUAAUUCUAGAGCUAAUACAUGCAUCAAUACCCAACUGUUCGCGGAAGGGUAGUAUUUAUUAGGUAUAGACCAACCCUCUUCGGAGGUGCUUUGGUGAUUCAUAAUAACUUUACGAAUCUUUUCUUUUGAAAAGAUGAUUCAUUCAAAUUUCUGCCCUAUCAGCUUUGAUGGUAAGGUAUUGGCUUACCAUGGCAAUAACGGGUGACGGGGAAUUAGGGUUUGAUUCCGGAGAGGGAGCCUGAGAAACGGCUACCACUUCUAAGGAAGGCAGCAGG